UGGGAGCUGAAGAAGCUGGAGGUGGAACUUCCUGUGCAUCAGUUUCCGCCCAUUGCCUCAUGUCCUACUGCUUGGCACCACCAAGCAGAGCCUGGCUCCAGCCUCUUGACACCCUCCCUCCAGAU
Long non-coding RNA from Corvus hawaiiensis (hawaiian crow), 125 nucleotides. RefSeq lists it as uncharacterized. NCBI's taxonomy places the organism in Eukaryota, Metazoa, Chordata, Aves, Passeriformes, Corvidae. The record is from RefSeq and is a predicted model, not a curated record. The transcript has 3 exons.